AUUGGUUCUUGGGAUUCAGUACGUCACAUUGGCUUCCUGAUUCUGUUGUUCGAUACACAACGUGCGUGAUCGUUGGUAAAUGUGGAUUAAAAGUUGAAACUAAAACUGUUAAAUUAUAUAUAGUGAUCAUCAGAGGACUUGGCUGAAACAACGCGAUUCACAUGGAUUACUUCGGCGAUAUUUUUUAUUGCUGUUGCGAUUAACUUUUUGAAAUGUGAGCAGUUUUUAAGUAUCAAGUGGAUCUGACAUCGAGGGGAAAUAUACGUUUCUUGGAUUUCAUUAAAGUACAUCGGUUUUUGUUUGAAGAUGAAUGAGAGAACAUGAGGCACAGCGGCAUUCAAAUUGACCAAUCAGAGCCGAGAAUAUCUAAUAAGUCGAAGUAGAGAUGAACAGAUGAAGAUACAGCCCGUAAAAAUACUUAUUCUUGGUGAGUGCCAUGUAGCGACGGAUCAAACGGACACUCAUGUCAAGCUUGAUGAGGACACAGUCAAAGCUUUAAAAGACCUUGUGAUUAAGUCUUCAGUGUCUGAAUGGCAAGAAGAAGUGACCCUCUACUUAAACGUGACAUUUAAACUGCUCUGUGUUUUGGUUCAGCCAUUUGUAGGUUUAUCUCGAGUAAGUUCAAAUGCACUUCUGCAUUUGUCCAGUAACUUUUUGUUUAGAGAAUUACAUCAUUAUGAUUAUAUAAUUAUUCAAUGGUUGCAUAUUCAUAGUGUACUUUUCAUAUUGAUGUAUUAAUGUUCCACAAUUUGAUAAAAGUAGCUCAUUGCAUUUCACUGAUCUUUGUUUUAUAUUGUAAAAUCAUUUCAAUAGCAGUAAAUACAUACUUAGUUGUUUCUUUAACAUUUAAUUAGUUGUUAAUGAUGGAAGAAACCGGUUCUUAUGUAUGAAUACAGAAUAGGUAUCAUUUUAGAAUGAGUUAAAACAUGUUUUGGUGGCAAACAUGCAGGUAAAAUAGUACAUAUAUAACAUUCUAAUAGUAUACUUGACUGUAAUUCAAAUGUCACAUACAGUACAUUAGAAAUGAUUUAUUUUAUGUAUACAAAUG
Long non-coding RNA from Paramisgurnus dabryanus, 1048 nucleotides. RefSeq lists it as uncharacterized. Lineage: Eukaryota; Metazoa; Chordata; Actinopteri; Cypriniformes; Cobitidae. The record is from RefSeq and is a predicted model, not a curated record.